UACGGUUGUCCUAGAAACCAACAAAAUAAAACAACUUCGUCCUAUUCUAUUAUUCCAUGCUAAUGUAUUCCGGCAUAAGCCUGCUUUAAACACUCUAAUUUUUUCAAGGUAAAGGUCCUGACUACCCGCAACAUCCAAUAAAGGACAUUACGUAUCACCAGGCGGAUAGACCCAACACAACCAGUACUCAUCUAAAAGAUGGACCA
RNAcentral lists this unclassified non-coding RNA (206 nucleotides) under uncultured Archaeosporaceae. RNAcentral describes it as "sequence contains 18S rRNA gene". Lineage: Eukaryota; Fungi; Glomeromycota; Glomeromycetes; Archaeosporales; Archaeosporaceae. The record is from RNAcentral.